GCUUUCGGAGCUAACGCGUUAAGUAGACCGCCUGGGGAGUACGGUCGCAAGAUUAAAACUCAAAUGAAUUGACGGGGGCCCGCACAAGCGGUGGAGCAUGUGGUUUAAUUCGAUGCAACGCGAAGAACCUUACCUACUCUUGACAUCCAGAGAACUUUCCAGAGAUGGAUUGGUGCCUUCGGGAACUCUGAGACAGGUGCUGCAUGGCUGUCGUCAGCUCGUGUUGUGAAAUGUUGGGUUAAGUCCCGCAACGAGCGCAACCCUUAUCCUUGUUUGCCAGCGAGUAAUGUCGGGAACUCCAGGGAGACUGCCGGUGAUAAACCGGAGGAAGGUGGGGACGACGUCAAGUCAUCAUGGCCCUUACGAGUAGGGCUACACACGUGCUACAAUGGCGCAUACAGAGGGCGGCCAACUUGCGAAAGUGAGCGAAUCCCAAAAAGUGCGUCGUAGUCCGGAUUGGAGUCUGCAACUCGACUCCAUGAAGUCGGAAUCGCUAGUAAUCGUGGAUCAGAAUGCCACGGUGAAUACGUUCCCGGGCCUUGUACACACCGCCCGUCAC
This 559-nucleotide ribosomal RNA is filed under the name Vibrio alginolyticus. RNAcentral describes it as "bacterial SSU rRNA". It matches the Rfam family "Bacterial small subunit ribosomal RNA", at positions 842 to 1400 of the family's 1533-position model. The record is from RNAcentral. Lineage: Bacteria; Pseudomonadati; Pseudomonadota; Gammaproteobacteria; Vibrionales; Vibrionaceae.